RNAcentral lists this ribosomal RNA (330 nucleotides) under Ochromonas sp. CCMP1393. RNAcentral's name for it is "partial Bacterial large subunit ribosomal RNA". It matches the Rfam family "Bacterial large subunit ribosomal RNA", at positions 2215 to 2544 of the family's 2925-position model. Lineage: Eukaryota; Chrysophyceae; Chromulinales; Chromulinaceae. The record is from RNAcentral.
UGAGGUUCUAACUCAGGUCCGUUAUCCGGAUCGAGGACAGUGUCUGGUGGGUAGUUUGACUGGGGCGGUCUCCUCCCAAAUAGUAACGGAGGAGCACGAAGGUUAGCUAAUCACGGUCGGACAUCGUGAGGUUAGUGCAAUGGCAUAAGCUAGCUUAACUGCGAGACAGACACGUCGAGCAGGUACGAAAGUAGGUCAUAGUGAUCCGGUGGUUCUGUAUGGAAGGGCCAUCGCUCAACGGAUAAAAGGUACUCUGGGGAUAACAGGCUGAUGACGCCCAAGAGUCCAUAUCGACGGCGGUGUUUGGCACCUCGAUGUCGGCUCAUCGCA